AACGAACGCUGGCGGCAGGCCUAACACAUGCAAGUCGAGCGAGGACUUCGGUUCUAGCGGCGGACGGGUGAGUAACGCGUGGGAAUGUGCCCUUCUCUACGGAAUAGCCCUGGGAAACUGGGAGUAAUACCGUAUACGCCCUAUUGGGGAAAGAUUUAUCGGAGAAGGAUCAGCCCGCGUUGGAUUAGGUAGUUGGUGGGGUAAUGGCCUACCAAGCCGACGAUCCAUAGCUGGUUUGAGAGGAUGAUCAGCCACACUGGGACUGAGACACGGCCCAGACUCCUACGGGAGGCAGCAGUGGGGAAUCUUAGACAAUGGGGGCAACCCUGAUCUAGCCAUGCCGCGUGAGUGAUGAAGGCCUUAGGGUUGUAAAGCUCUUUCAGCUGGGAAGAUAAUGACGGGACCAGCAGAAGAAGCCCCGGCUAACUCCG
This 431-nucleotide ribosomal RNA is filed under the name uncultured bacterium. RNAcentral describes it as "partial 16S ribosomal RNA". It matches the Rfam family "Bacterial small subunit ribosomal RNA", at positions 29 to 505 of the family's 1533-position model. The record is from RNAcentral.